This 465-nucleotide ribosomal RNA is filed under the name uncultured bacterium. RNAcentral's name for it is "partial 16S ribosomal RNA". It matches the Rfam family "Bacterial small subunit ribosomal RNA", at positions 338 to 795 of the family's 1533-position model. The record is from RNAcentral.
CCUACGGGUGGCAGCAGUGGGGAAUAUUGCGCAAUGGGCGAAAGCCUGAAGCAGCGACGCCGCGUGCGGGAUGAAGGUCUUCGGAUCGUAAACCUCUGUCAGCAGGGAAGAACGGUCACUGUGCUAAUCCGCAGUGCAUUUACGGUACCUGCAAAGGCAGCACCGGCUAACUCCGUGCCAGCAGCCGCGGUAAUACGGAGGGUGCGAGCGUUCAUCGGAAUUACUGGGCGUAAAGCGCUCGUAGGCGGUAUGUCAAGUCAAGUGUGAACUCCCCGGGCUCAACGUGGGAACUGCCUGUGAAACUGGCAAGCUGGAGUGUGUGAGAGGAUAGUGGAAUUCCAGGUGUAGGAGUGAAAUGCGUAGAUAUCUGGAGGAACAUCAGUGGCGAAGGCGACUAUCUGGCACAUAACUGACGCUGAGGAGCGAAAGCGUGGGUAGCAAACAGGAUUAGAUACCCCUGUAGUC